RNAcentral lists this long non-coding RNA (3813 nucleotides) under Aquilegia coerulea. RNAcentral's name for it is "long non-coding RNA (ACOE_LNC000125)". Lineage: Eukaryota; Viridiplantae; Streptophyta; Magnoliopsida; Ranunculales; Ranunculaceae. The record is from RNAcentral.
GUAGACUUAAGAAAUAAAACACAUGGAAAGAAACCAAGAAAACUUUAAAGAUAUUUAUGAACUUCAGAGACACAUUGUUCUCAUUACAGCUAGAAGUUCAGUUCAUUGAUUAAAAGGACAUUAUUGAAAAUGAUGUACACAAGUGAAAGUUAUUACCAAAAUGCUUCAGUAAUUUUCAUGAUCAAUGUUUCUUACAUUAGAGACGCAAGGGACUACCACAUGUCCGCCACACAUGUUUUCAUGAGUGAAACGUAUCCUCAAUGGACGCCCUAACAAUGCCUGCAAUGAAAAACAUGUUAAAAGUCCAUAGCUAAGACGUUUCAAUUAUUGAUUGAUCUUCAUCUUUAAAUGUUGGCAACCAUGAGCAAAAGAUUAAUAACACCCUCAUUCAAUUAUGUUACCACUAUACACUAACAAUUACAUUUCGGUCUAUGGCUUCCUUCGCAGAUUUAACAUUGUCUUCCGUCGGAACACGACAAACCCAAAGACUCUUGAUUUCCCUCCGUCUUUAUCAUGCACAAUCCUUACUGAAUAUAUGAAACACAAGGAAGACUAUGACGUUUAGUAUUUUUUGUCAUAUUAGAUACUAAGAUGUAAGGUUGCAGGGACGUGAGGUUACAAUCUGGGAUUAAUCACAUCUUCAUCAUUAACAAUUUUCAAUCAAAAUAUAAAAUGCAAGAAUAAAUAGUAGCACUAAUUCCUCUAAUAAAAAAAAACUCAAUGGAUUUUCGUAUAGGAUAUAAUUAGGUUAAGUUGUUCAACUCAGUCCCAAAUUCGAUUAAUUUGUAACAUCCAUCCAUACAUUUUAUUUUCCUGGUAGCCCAAAAUCUUUGUGAACAGUUUAAAUUAUGAUUUAUAUCUAGGUAUGUGAUGUAGAACAGUGUUGAUGUCAUCACCAACAAUGCUGACAUCAUCGUCAGAAAUUUAUUUUUCUUAUUUUCUUUUUAUCUUAUUAUUUUAUUUAGUAAUUUCUAUUAGAGUCUAGAAGUUCUAAAAUAGUUGGUUUACUAUUAAAUUGAUAUUAGUAAUACAAUUCAAAGUAGGAUUUGUAUUUUGAUUUCUUUGUUUAGGAAGUCCUAGUGUUAGUUGGUCUAAGUUUUUAGUUUAUAUAAAGAGUCAUGUUUUGUAGAACAAUUAUUCAAUUAUUCAAUCAAUACAAUUAAGAUUAGUCUCUACAAUUUAUUUUUCUUUAGUUUUGUUUUAGUUCUUCCUUGUUUCAAGGCAAUCCUCCCCUUAGGUUAUUCAAGGUUUGAUUUUUAAUCGCUUCCGCUACGUCAAUUGGUUUCAAGAGCUCUGUUUCGAUCCUACAAUGGUUAAUGACGGAGAUUCUUCACCCCGCUCCCAAGUCGGUAAUCUUGGAGAUUAUGUGACGAAGGUUGAAUUCAAUUUGGCUAUUAAUCGUCUCACCACUUUAAUCGAGAAACUUACUCUUCGAUUUGAUAAGUUUGAAGGUAAGCAAUCUAUUGUUGAUGCUCACCCUCCCACUCUCUACUAUGACCAACAUAUCUCAACCACCCCAAUUUUCCACCACCACCACCACAACUUUACCACAAGUUUCCAAUAUUGACUUCACAUCUCUCCCUAUAGAUGGUUGCCCGCAAACACCACAAAACCUAUUUUCAUAUCCCUACCUAUACAUACAACCCUAUAAUACUUCCCAACCAUCUCAACUCUCCAAUACUCCACAAGUUCGCACCACUUAUACCACUAUUGCUUCUCCAUCUCAAUCUCGCUACCAACUCCCACAUUUAACUAACAAUGUUCCACCCACUACACAGAAUUUUCAACCACCCCCCAAUCUUCCUACUAAUCGUUUUCAACAAACUUAUCACCGUCGCGUCCCUCGAGCACCAAAUUCUUAUCUUGAUGAUCAUGAUAGUGAUGAUGUGUAACACCCCAAAAUACAAUUCAUAUCUCAAUAAGUUUGAACCGCAUCUCGAGGCAUUAAACCAACACUAAGGACAAAAUUUAUCAUUUCUAAUCUAUUAAUAAAAAACCUUGGGAAUCAGGUGUUGAAUUCAUUUUCUCCAUUUACGACAAAAUCGCAAGUACACAAAAACAAACUUUUUAUAUAUAUAAAUAAUAACUCAACUUACAUGAUUCUGUAGUAUAUAUACAAGACUGUUUUCGUAAUAGUUAUAUAUACAUAUAUCUCAUAUAAAGUGACUAACAAAAGAUUAUUUCAACCCUCGCCCACUCUCUCACAUAAGACAAAAGUAGUCAUCAUCCCCGUCAUCGACUACCUCUACAGCAGGCUCCUCAAUUGUAGAAUCGUCUGAAAAGGGUAAUGGUAGGGUGAGCAUAAUCCACUUGCUCAGUAGUGACUUACAGUUCCAAUAUAAAUCUAAUUAUGACGAUUUAAUCCAUAAUAAACAGUUGUAAAUAAUGCAAGAUUUUUAAAUAAAUAAAAGGCGAAUAAUAAAAACGGAAAUGUAAAACAUUACAAUAUAAUAUCAUCACAAGUAUACUAUAUAUAAGCAAACCAUCAUACAAUAGUUUCGGGUAGCUGCAUCCUACUAGAAUGAUGAGGUACGACCGCUAUACCGCCCCGGUCGCAGGCAAUCUCUUGGUUCAGUACUUACCAGUGUGAACCUACACCGUUAUUUCCUGAUUUCCGGUGGGGUGACUGUAUUACCGUUAUUGUGUUCCCAGAACACUAAACCCGUCUAUUUAGGCUCAGGUGGGCCUUUGACCACGAUUCCUGAUACGAGGAAUCCCUGACUUACGGUGGUCAACCGUUCGACGACUGCAGACUGCACAGGAUCCUGACACACGUCCAGGAGUGGACUAACUCUCACCCCUCGCGUCUAAACCUCAUCGAGGUAACAUGUAGUCUCAUCUGAACUAAUAUAUCAACAACGUACCACUACAUGAAUGGUGGUCUGGAAUGGUGAAAAGGAAUUCCCGGAUACAUCUCUAAUGUAUCUCUCUAGAAGGCGGCCCAUUCACCUUCUAAAGGUGAACACCAUAGAUGUCAUCCUAGAAUGAACUGUCGUCUCCGGAAUAUGACAACAACUCAUUCUUUAUAGGAAUUCACAGGUCCCUCUCCAAACUACCUCAUUAUAUAAAUAAAUAUAUAUAAUAUAUUAGUUACUUUCUUUAUAUAUAUUUAAAUGUGUGGUGUGUCCCCAGAUUUAAACAAUAUCCAUGGCUACCCUAACCGGGCCACAGCCAUAAUCAAAUAUGAUCCGUAUAGUUGGCUACCCUAACCGGGCCACAGCCAUAAUCGUGACAGCAUACCAGAUCAAUAUUUCCACCAAUCUAGGGACCUCACACAUCCCAGUUAUACAUUACAAUCGGGUUUCCUUGCCCCGCAUUACAAAACCAAAUCUUUUCCACCAUUGGAAAGAGAUUUAUCGAGAAAUUCCUUUUUAAAACACUAUUUUUAUAUAAAAUAUAAAUAAACUAAGUUAAUCCAAUAAUCAAAUUUUUCGAGGAAUCCAAUCGCAAUCAUCGACUUAAUAAUAAGAAAUGAACCGAAUAGCAAUUCCUGUUAGCAAUAAUAUUCAACCAAAACCAUGCAUGAAUUUCAAUAACGACUAUCUCCAUUCAUUUAUAAAAUAUGAGCAUGAAAAGAAAUAUAAAGGUUCUGUAAGUCCCUACCUCAGCUCGCUCCUGCUACCACUAUCAAAGCCCGGUGAAAGGAACUAUGUCGCUAUCCUAAAAUAUAAGAACAAGCAUAAGCCCAAAAUCUAAAGAUUUAAUAAUUUGCUACUAUCUAACUAAUUAUCUAAAGUAUUCCAAUCGAUUGUUAGUUUCGUGUUUUUUUUAUAUGUUGUCUAAUAAAGCAAAUUAUCCGAGCUAUAGCGUAUU